This 1359-nucleotide ribosomal RNA is filed under the name uncultured bacterium. RNAcentral describes it as "bacterial SSU rRNA". It matches the Rfam family "Bacterial small subunit ribosomal RNA", at positions 28 to 1381 of the family's 1533-position model. The record is from RNAcentral.
AUUGAACGCUGGCGGCAGGCUUAACACAUGCAAGUCGAGCGGGGAAAGGUAGCUUGCUACCUGACCUAGCGGCGGACGGGUGAGUAAUGCUUAGGAAUCUGCCUAUUAGUGGGGGACAACAUUCCGAAAGGAAUGCUAAUACCGCAUACGCCCUACGGGGGAAAGCAGGGGAUCUUCGGACCUUGCACUAAUAGAUGAGCCUAAGUCAGAUUAGCUAGUUGGUGGGGUAAAGGCCUACCAAGGCGACGAUCUGUAGCGGGUCUGAGAGGAUGAUCCGCCACACUGGGACUGAGACACGGCCCAAACUCCUACGGGAGGCAGCAGUGGGGAAUAUUGGACAAUGGGCGAAAGCCUGAUCCAGCCAUGCCGCGUGUGUGAAGAAGGCCUUUUGGUUGUAAAGCACUUUAAGCGAGGAGGAGGCUACUUAGAUUAAUACUCUAGGAUAGUGGACGUUACUCGCAGAAUAAGCACCGGCUAACUCUGUGCCAGCAGCCGCGGUAAUACAGAGGGUGCGAGCGUUAAUCGGAUUUACUGGGCGUAAAGCGUGCGUAGGCGGCUUUUUAAGUCGGAUGUGAAAUCCCUGAGCUUAACUUAGGAAUUGCAUUCGAUACUGGGAAGCUAGAGUAUGGGAGAGGAUGGUAGAAUUCCAGGUGUAGCGGUGAAAUGCGUAGAGAUCUGGAGGAAUACCGAUGGCGAAGGCAGCCAUCUGGCCUAAUACUGACGCUGAGGUACGAAAGCAUGGGGAGCAAACAGGAUUAGAUACCCUGGUAGUCCAUGCCGUAAACGAUGUCUACUAGCCGUUGGGGCCUUUGAGGCUUUAGUGGCGCAGCUAACGCGAUAAGUAGACCGCCUGGGGAGUACGGUCGCAAGACUAAAACUCAAAUGAAUUGACGGGGGCCCGCACAAGCGGUGGAGCAUGUGGUAUAAUUCGAUGCAACGCGAAGAACCUUACCUGGUCUUGACAUAGUAAGAACUUUCCAGAGAUGGAUUGGUGCCUUCGGGAACUUACAUACAGGUGCUGCAUGGCUGUCGUCAGCUCGUGUCGUGAGAUGUUGGGUUAAGUCCCGCAACGAGCGCAACCCUUUUCCUUAUUUGCCAGCGGGUUAAGCCGGGAACUUUAAGGAUACUGCCAGUGACAAACUGGAGGAAGGCGGGGACGACGUCAAGUCAUCAUGGCCCUUACGACCAGGGCUACACACGUGCUACAAUGGUCGGUACAAAGGGUUGCUACCUAGCGAUAGGAUGCUAAUCUCAAAAAGCCGAUCGUAGUCCGGAUUGGAGUCUGCAACUCGACUCCAUGAAGUCGGAAUCGCCAGUAAUCGCGGAUCAGAAUGCCGCGGUGAAUACGUUCCCGGGCCU